This is a long non-coding RNA of Brienomyrus brachyistius, 812 nucleotides long. RefSeq lists it as uncharacterized. The transcript has 3 exons. NCBI's taxonomy places the organism in Eukaryota, Metazoa, Chordata, Actinopteri, Osteoglossiformes, Mormyridae. The record is from RefSeq and is a predicted model, not a curated record.
ACUCCUUUCUACUGGAAACAACUUUCUACUCUACUCCUCCACAUGCUGAAUUCUGCUAUCUCUGCUUCUCGUCUUCAUCCUUCUCUUAAUUCAUCCUUGUUAACUUUACUCCUUAAACAAGCUACAGGUGGUGAUUUCUAAAUUGAUUCAUCCUGGCCAAACCAGCUCCAUUAAGUCCUGCCAUGAUGGUCACAGCAUACGCCACCUACUGCAUAUCCCGUUUGAAGUUCUGGUUCCACGUUUUCCAUUUCUCUCCAUGAACGCAGUGCCAAAUCUGGAUCAACUGCUUUCCAUCACCUGGUUCCUGUUUCCCGCCUUUCCACUCAUGGACUAUAAAAGAACCCCCACAAAUCCAUUGGACAACUUCUGCUCCAGCUUUUGCAAUUUUUUUUUUUGUCUUGGCUUGUGAUUAUUGUAUUUGACUGCCUGUUAUGAUCUGUGUUGGUUUUCGGUACACUCUCGUUUAGGUUUCGAUUUGGAUUUGGUUGUUAUGCUCUUGUAUUUACACUGACAUUUACAGCAUUUAGCAGAUGCUCUUUUCCAGACAUUUUGCGACAUUUUGUCUCUGUUUGUGAUUAGAAAGGAUUAGGUUAGCAUAUGUAUUUUGUUUUCUUUUGGGUUAGGGAAGUUUUCAUUGGUACACGUGUAGGUAGUUCACUGGGUAUUGUUUAUUGUGUUGGCCAUUGUCACUCCCGAAGAGUGCCACAUCCUGGUGUUCGCUUAUCCCACAUUUCCCAAAUAUAUAUACACAUUGAUCUCUGUUAAUAUCAUCACUUUGGGUGUUGAUUAUUUCCCGACCUCCAUAUCCUCUA